AUGUCUUUUCCAUGUAUUCUAUAUUCAGGAAAUAAUCUGGAAAACACACUGAAUAGAGCCACAGACUUGGCUUCAAAUCCCAACAACUCGUCUGAGUAACAUUGGCAGGUUGCUUUUCUAUGAAAUGAGAAUCAUUGUGCCUACCUAUAAGUCAAUUGGGAUAAUGGAUGUAAAGUGCUUGCCACAGUGCCUGCUACAUGCUCAAGUCUCUGGAGGUCCCAGAUGCCCACGCUUCCCUCUUUGCUCUCUUCGAGGCUGCUGCUCUAUGAACCAAUAUCAAAAUAUCAGGCCUUGUGUGCUAAUAGAAAUGUCCAAAUUCUCUUAAAAAAUUGGAAGACCUGGACCUACAUUCCUGCAUGGUAACAAUCAGCUACAGCAGAGUGUCCCAUGCUCCAUGAGUUAAGUAGACCCUGAAAACAACAACAACAACAACAACAACCAGCAACCAACAA
RNAcentral lists this long non-coding RNA (452 nucleotides) under Homo sapiens (human). Its description in RNAcentral is "HSALNT0323197". The record is from RNAcentral. Lineage: Eukaryota; Metazoa; Chordata; Mammalia; Primates; Hominidae.